This 197-nucleotide ribosomal RNA is filed under the name Symbiodinium sp. Mp. RNAcentral describes it as "partial Eukaryotic large subunit ribosomal RNA". It matches the Rfam family "Eukaryotic large subunit ribosomal RNA", at positions 165 to 359 of the family's 3401-position model. The record is from RNAcentral. Lineage: Eukaryota; Dinophyceae; Suessiales; Symbiodiniaceae.
CAGCGGAGGCGCAGAUGUAAGCCUCUUGGAAAAGAGCAUCAAUGAGGGUGAGAGUCCCGUUUGUCAUCUGCAGUCCUCUGUUUACGGUGUGCUUUCUAAGAGUCACGUUCCUUGGGACUGGAGCGCAAAUUGGGUGGUAAAUUUCAUCUAAAGCUAAAUAUUGGUUCGAGACCGAUAGCAAACAAGUACCAUGAGGG